This 1552-nucleotide ribosomal RNA is filed under the name Salmonella enterica subsp. enterica serovar Agona. RNAcentral's name for it is "bacterial SSU rRNA". It matches the Rfam family "Bacterial small subunit ribosomal RNA". The record is from RNAcentral. Lineage: Bacteria; Pseudomonadati; Pseudomonadota; Gammaproteobacteria; Enterobacterales; Enterobacteriaceae.
AAAUUGAAGAGUUUGAUCAUGGCUCAGAUUGAACGCUGGCGGCAGGCCUAACACAUGCAAGUCGAACGGUAACAGGAAGCAGCUUGCUGCUUCGCUGACGAGUGGCGGACGGGUGAGUAAUGUCUGGGAAACUGCCUGAUGGAGGGGGAUAACUACUGGAAACGGUGGCUAAUACCGCAUAACGUCGCAAGACCAAAGAGGGGGACCUUCGGGCCUCUUGCCAUCAGAUGUGCCCAGAUGGGAUUAGCUUGUUGGUGAGGUAACGGCUCACCAAGGCGACGAUCCCUAGCUGGUCUGAGAGGAUGACCAGCCACACUGGAACUGAGACACGGUCCAGACUCCUACGGGAGGCAGCAGUGGGGAAUAUUGCACAAUGGGCGCAAGCCUGAUGCAGCCAUGCCGCGUGUAUGAAGAAGGCCUUCGGGUUGUAAAGUACUUUCAGCGGGGAGGAAGGUGUUGUGGUUAAUAACCGCAGCAAUUGACGUUACCCGCAGAAGAAGCACCGGCUAACUCCGUGCCAGCAGCCGCGGUAAUACGGAGGGUGCAAGCGUUAAUCGGAAUUACUGGGCGUAAAGCGCACGCAGGCGGUCUGUCAAGUCGGAUGUGAAAUCCCCGGGCUCAACCUGGGAACUGCAUUCGAAACUGGCAGGCUUGAGUCUUGUAGAGGGGGGUAGAAUUCCAGGUGUAGCGGUGAAAUGCGUAGAGAUCUGGAGGAAUACCGGUGGCGAAGGCGGCCCCCUGGACAAAGACUGACGCUCAGGUGCGAAAGCGUGGGGAGCAAACAGGAUUAGAUACCCUGGUAGUCCACGCCGUAAACGAUGUCUACUUGGAGGUUGUGCCCUUGAGGUGUGGCUUCCGGAGCUAACGCGUUAAGUAGACCGCCUGGGGAGUACGGCCGCAAGGUUAAAACUCAAAUGAAUUGACGGGGGCCCGCACAAGCGGUGGAGCAUGUGGUUUAAUUCGAUGCAACGCGAAGAACCUUACCUGGUCUUGACAUCCACGGAAGUUUUCAGAGAUGAGAAUGUGCCUUCGGGAACCGUGAGACAGGUGCUGCAUGGCUGUCGUCAGCUCGUGUUGUGAAAUGUUGGGUUAAGUCCCGCAACGAGCGCAACCCUUAUCCUUUGUUGCCAGCGAUUCGGUCGGGAACUCAAAGGAGACUGCCAGUGAUAAACUGGAGGAAGGUGGGGAUGACGUCAAGUCAUCAUGGCCCUUACGACCAGGGCUACACACGUGCUACAAUGGCGCAUACAAAGAGAAGCGACCUCGCGAGAGCAAGCGGACCUCAUAAAGUGCGUCGUAGUCCGGAUUGGAGUCUGCAACUCGACUCCAUGAAGUCGGAAUCGCUAGUAAUCGUGGAUCAGAAUGCCACGGUGAAUACGUUCCCGGGCCUUGUACACACCGCCCGUCACACCAUGGGAGUGGGUUGCAAAAGAAGUAGGUAGCUUAACCUUCGGGAGGGCGCUUACCACUUUGUGAUUCAUGACUGGGGUGAAGUCGUAACAAGGUAACCGUAGGGGAACCUGCGGUUGGAUCACCUCCUUACCUUAAAGAA